CGGUGAGGUAACCGCAAGGAGCCAGCCGCCGAAGGUGGGGUAGAUGAUUGGGGUGAAGUCGUAACAAGGUAGCCGUAUCGGAAGGUGCGGCUGGAUCACCUCCUUU
This 106-nucleotide ribosomal RNA is filed under the name Paenibacillus polymyxa. RNAcentral describes it as "partial 16S ribosomal RNA". It matches the Rfam family "Bacterial small subunit ribosomal RNA", at positions 1428 to 1533 of the family's 1533-position model. Lineage: Bacteria; Bacillati; Bacillota; Bacilli; Caryophanales; Paenibacillaceae. The record is from RNAcentral. RNAcentral also lists the same sequence under 4 other names.